GACGAGCGCUGGCGGCGUGCUUAACACAUGCAAGUCGAACGGAAAGGCCCUGCUUUUGUGGGGUGCUCGAGUGGCGAACGGGUGAGUAACACGUGAGUAACCUGCCCUUGACUUUGGGAUAACUUCAGGAAACUGGGGCUAAUACCGGAUAGGAGCUCCUGCUGCAUGGUGGGGGUUGGAAAGUUUCGGCGGUUGGGGAUGGACUCGCGGCUUAUCAGCUUGUUGGUGGGGUAGUGGCUUACCAAGGCUUUGACGGGUAGCCGGGCUGAGAGGGUGACCGGACCAAAUGGGAAGGGAAUAAGGCACCGAACACUAACGGAAGGGAGAGUGGGGAAUAUUGCACAAUGGGCGGAAGCAUGAUGCAGCAACGCAGCGUGCGGGAUGACGGCCUUCGGGUUGUAAACCGCUUUCGCCUGUGACGAAGCGUGAGUGACGGUAAUGGGUAAAGAAGCACCGGCUAACUACGUG
Molecule: ribosomal RNA, 468 nt
Filed under: uncultured bacterium
Lineage: Bacteria
Description: partial 16S ribosomal RNA
Rfam family: Bacterial small subunit ribosomal RNA
Source: RNAcentral